UUUGCGGAAGCAUUUGCUCAGCGAGAUACUCUGGCAACGAGUAAUGAUGCACAUAACUUUUGCUCCUUGCAUCACGGGGAACCAAUCACAUAUGUGUAUCUGAUAUAGGCGGGUUAAACAGCCCCUCGAGUUGGGCUAUUACAUUAUUCGUGGCCAGACCCUUAAUCUUUGGGUCUGGAAUCUCCAGGCUAGUCCACUGCAGUGUUUUAGAAAGAAAAUGAUUCAAGCUAUCUUAGUGGAAAACCAAAGUUCUCUUACAUGAACUAUAGCUAUCGUGUUGCAUGUGGGAGUAUUGAGUGGACUCAUCAAUAUUGCCCACCCUUCAAAUUAGGGCUAUUGUAAAUAUAUGCAGUACAUUUUGCAAAAUAAAACAUUGAAACAGC
This is a long non-coding RNA of Alosa sapidissima (American shad), 383 nucleotides long. RefSeq lists it as uncharacterized. The record is from RefSeq and is a predicted model, not a curated record. The transcript has 2 exons. Lineage: Eukaryota; Metazoa; Chordata; Actinopteri; Clupeiformes; Clupeidae.